UACGAGGGGGGCGAGCGUUGUUCGGAAUUAUUGGGCGUAAAGGGUGCGUAGGCGGUUUGGUAAGUCUGAUGUGAAAGCCCCGGGCUCAACCUGGGAAUUGCAUUGGAAACUAGCGGGCUGGAGUGUGGCAGAGGGGGGUGGAAUUCCACGUGUAGCAGUGAAAUGCGUAGAGAUGUGGAGGAACACCGAUGGCGAAGGCAGCCCCUGGGCUAACACUGACGCUCAUGCACGAAAGCGUGGGGAGCAAACAGG
Molecule: ribosomal RNA, 252 nt
Filed under: uncultured bacterium
Lineage: Bacteria
Description: partial 16S ribosomal RNA
Rfam family: Bacterial small subunit ribosomal RNA
Source: RNAcentral